AUGGUGACCAUGAAGAUGAAGGAGCUAGAGGACGGGGUGCCCGAGGAGUGCGUGCCGCACCUGCCAUGGAUGCGGCACCCGGUCGACAUCGACUCCUUCUCGGGCUGCCCUGUGACGAGCCUCCCCCGCCUAGACCCCAGAUUGGCAGAAGCAUUGCAGCGAAUGGGAAUUGAAUCAUUUUUCCUAGUUCAGGUAUCAACAUGGCUGGAGACAAUUGGUCCUGGUGCUUUUCAGAGGGAUAUCUGUAUUAAUUCCCCAACUGGAUCCGGCAAAACUCUUGCCUAUGCUUUGCCUAUUGUGCAAGCGCUUUCCACUCGGAAAGUAAGGUGCUUGCGUGCUUUGGUUGUGCUACCUACACGGGAUUUAGCAUUGCAGGUCAAAGAGGUUUUUGAUGCUAUUGCUCCUGUGAUGGGCUUGACAGUAGCAUCAGCAAUUGGUCGAUCGUCCAUCGCGGACGAAAUAUCAGAUCUGAUCAAGAAGUCCAAACAGGAGCUUUAUCCAUCUCUUGAUGAUGAAUAUGUUGAAAUGGAACCACAGACUAAAGUUGAUAUAUUGGUGGCAACUCCUGGAAGAUUGAUGGAUCAUAUCAACAUGACAAAAGGUUUUAGUCUGGAGCAUCUUCAAUACUUGGUUGUUGAUGAGACAGAUAGGAUGUAA
Molecule: ribosomal RNA, 657 nt
Filed under: Triticum aestivum (bread wheat)
Lineage: Eukaryota; Viridiplantae; Streptophyta; Magnoliopsida; Poales; Poaceae
Description: partial small subunit ribosomal RNA
Source: RNAcentral